UACCAGCACCCCGAGUUGUCGGGACGAUUAUUGGGCCUAAAGCAUCCGUAGCCUGUUCUGCAAGUCCUCCGUUAAAUCCACUUGCUUAACGGAUGGGCUGCGGGGGAUACCGCAGAGCUAGGAGGCGGGAGAGGCAAACGGUACUCAGUGGGUAGGGGUAAAAUCCAUUGAUCUACUGAAGACCACCAGUGGCGAAGGCGGUUUGCCAGAACGCGCUCGACGGUGAGGGAUGAAAGCUGGGGGAGCAAACCGG
Molecule: ribosomal RNA, 253 nt
Filed under: uncultured bacterium
Lineage: Bacteria
Description: partial 16S ribosomal RNA
Rfam family: Archaeal small subunit ribosomal RNA
Source: RNAcentral